RNAcentral lists this ribosomal RNA (704 nucleotides) under uncultured bacterium. RNAcentral describes it as "bacterial SSU rRNA". It matches the Rfam family "Bacterial small subunit ribosomal RNA", at positions 18 to 719 of the family's 1533-position model. The record is from RNAcentral.
CCUGGCUCAGAUUGAACGCUGGCGGCAGGCCUAACACAUGCAAGUCGAGCGGUAACAGAUCCAGCUUGCUGGAUGCUGACGAGCGGCGGACGGGUGAGUAAUGCAUAGGAAUUUACCCGAUAGUGGGGGAUAACCUGGGGAAACUCAGGCUAAUACCGCAUACGUCCUACGGGAGAAAGGGGGCUUCGGCUCCCGCUAUCGGAUGAGCCUAUGCCGGAUUAGCUAGUUGGUGAGGUAAUGGCUCACCAAGGCGACGAUCCGUAGCUGGUCUGAGAGGAUGAUCAGCCACAUCGGGACUGAGACACGGCCCGAACUCCUACGGGAGGCAGCAGUGGGGAAUAUUGGACAAUGGGGGCAACCCUGAUCCAGCCAUGCCGCGUGUGUGAAGAAGGCCCUCGGGUUGUAAAGCACUUUCAGUGAGGAAGAACGCCUGAUGGUUAAUACCCGUCAGGAAAGACAUCACUCACAGAAGAAGCACCGGCUAACUCCGUGCCAGCAGCCGCGGUAAUACGGAGGGUGCAAGCGUUAAUCGGAAUUACUGGGCGUAAAGCGCGCGUAGGUGGCUUGAUAAGCCGGUUGUGAAAGCCCCGGGCUCAACCUGGGAACGGCAUCCGGAACUGUCAGGCUAGAGUGCAGGAGAGGAAGGUAGAAUUCCCGGUGUAGCGGUGAAAUGCGUAGAGAUCGGGAGGAAUACCAGUGGCGAA